CCUACGGGGGGCUGCAGUGGGGAAUAUUGGACAAUGGGGGGAACCCUGAUCCAGCCAUGCCGCGUGUGUGAAGAAGGCCCUCGGGUUGUAAAGCACUUUCAGUGAGGAAGAACGCCUGGUGGUUAAUACCCAUCAGGAAAGACAUCACUCACAGAAGAAGCACCGGCUAACUCCGUGCCAGCAGCCGCGGUAAUACAGAGGGUGCGAGCGUUAAUCGGAAUUACUGGGCGUAAAGCGCGCGUAGGUGGCUUGAUAAGCCGGUUGUGAAAGCCCCGGGCUCAACCGGGGAACGGCAUCCGGAACUGUCAAGCUAGAGUGCAGGAGAGGAAGGUAGAAUUCCCGGUGUAGCGGUGAAAUGCGUAGAGAUCGGGAGGAAUACCAGUGGCGAAGGCGGCCUUCUGGACUGACACUGACACUGAGGUGCGAAAGCGUGGGUAGCAAACAGGAUUAGAUACCCCAGUAGUC
Molecule: ribosomal RNA, 465 nt
Filed under: Vreelandella stevensii
Lineage: Bacteria; Pseudomonadati; Pseudomonadota; Gammaproteobacteria; Oceanospirillales; Halomonadaceae
Description: partial 16S ribosomal RNA
Rfam family: Bacterial small subunit ribosomal RNA
Source: RNAcentral